RNAcentral lists this long non-coding RNA (400 nucleotides) under Capsella rubella. RNAcentral's name for it is "long non-coding RNA (CRUB_LNC000638)". Lineage: Eukaryota; Viridiplantae; Streptophyta; Magnoliopsida; Brassicales; Brassicaceae. The record is from RNAcentral.
UGGAUCAUGAGAAAGAAGAACACUCUCAGCAAAAAGAUUUGAAGACGUUCCAUCCUAUAAGGGAUGUAAGUAUUAAAAUGGGUUUACAAUAAUUUUUGUAAAGGAGGUGGAAUAGUAGUGACAUAAUGAAACACAAGAUAGCAAAAAAAAAAAAUACAUGUUCAACUGUAGAAGAAAUAUCUUCUAUUGUUACACAGAGUUUAUGCAAGCCUCCACUUGGUGACAAUUUUUUCAAAAAUGUUUGAAGUUGUCUAUUAUUUCUUAUAUAAAGUGGAUGAAGCUCUAAAUUAGAGUGUGACUUAUAACUAAGUUUCACAAGAUUUGACAACCUAUCAAUUUGAAAAUCAUCUACAAGAACUUCAACCAACUCGGCAAAAGUAAUGUUCUCAUCUAUGUUGAC